Long non-coding RNA from Gasterosteus aculeatus aculeatus (three-spined stickleback), 1349 nucleotides. The record is from Ensembl. NCBI's taxonomy places the organism in Eukaryota, Metazoa, Chordata, Actinopteri, Perciformes, Gasterosteidae.
CCGGGGAGGACGCAAGGAAUCAAACGGCCGCCGGUGAAGAACCUUGACCGUGAGCUGAGAGGAUGAAGAUGAAGAUGGUGAAGAUGAAGAUGAUGAAUAUGAGGGAGAAGACGGGGAAAUGAAGAUGAUGAAGUGUGAAAGCAGCAGCACCGUGUUGACUCAGACUGUGGAGAAUCCUCAGGCCUUCAGGUUAAAGCCCAAAACCCGCUGGCCUUUAGAACGGAACAAACCAAAAAGGACCCUGAACGCCUCACCAGCUCAGCAGCAUCAGACGGCGUUCAGGUGUAACCUCUGAGGAGUCUAACUGGUUUCACACCAGUUCAAGGUUGAGGUCGAUGUUCUUCCUUGACUGGGACUCUUCAUCCAAUCCAAACUCACAAACACAACAAACCACACAACUGUCUGCAGAGCGGAUGAGUGACGGGAGGGGCUGGCUGCUUCCAGGGGGGUCAGCUGGUCCAGAAGGAAAGAAAGGCCUGCUCCCAGUCCCCGAGCACCCCAAGGGUCAACAGGACCCCACACCCUCGACACGAACCCCGCCCAGACCCAAUCGGACCUCCGCAUGCUGCUCGGUAAUCACCUGGGCUGGACCUCAGUGUAACAGAUCCCAGGUUCUCUGCAGGAGGGAGGUCAGCUUCUACAUGAUGCAGUAAGAGACCAGAUAGAGACCAGAUAUGGGCCCCAUAGAGAGCAGAUAGAGGCCCAAUAUAGGCCAGAUAAAGACCAGAUAGAGAAAAGAUAGAGACCAGCUAGAGGCCUGAUAGAGACCAUAUAGAGACCAGAUAGAGGGAUGGCCAAGACCUGAUAGAGACCAGAUAGAGGCCGAAUAGAGACCUUAUAGACACCAGAUAAAGGCCUGAUAGAGAAAAGAUAGAGACCCAAUAGAGACCAGAUAGAGGCCUGAGAGAGACCUGUUAGAGACCAGAUAGAGGCCAGAUAAAGGCCUGAUAGAGACCAGAUAAAGACCCAACAUACAUAUACCCCCAAAAGCGGUAUUAAGAUUAGAGGGAAUUGCAGUUUGAGUUCAGUUUCCACAACUCGUGAUGUAUAUGUAUUUAUAUAUGUAUGUAUAAACCUGUAUUUAUAUAAGUAGAUAUACAUGCAUAUUUAUAUACACACACAUUCAGUGUACCAAGCUGCUCUCAGAGGUGAAGAGGUUGUGAGGCCUGAAAGAGUUCAUUUAAAACUAAAUUUACGAUCUGAACUUCGUCUCCGUCUCGUUUUACCGCCGAGCGUCCCGUCAGCGGGAUCCACCCAACCCGCCCGAGCAGGUGUCUCCAUCUUGUUUUUCUUUCAAAUGGCAGAGAUCUCAUCUUCAUUCGGGGGGGGGGGCGGGGGUGGGGCCUCAC